AUUGAACGCUGGCGGCAGGCCUAACACAUGCAAGUCGAACGGUAACAGAAAGCAGCUUGCUGCUUUGCUGACGAGUGGCGGACGGGUGAGUAAUGUCUGGGAAACUGCCUGAUGGAGGGGGAUAACUACUGGAAACGGUAGCUAAUACCGCAUAACGUCGCAAGACCAAAGAGGGGGACCUUCGGGCCUCUUGCCAUCGGAUGUGCCCAGAUGGGAUUAGCUAGUAGGUGGGGUAAAGGCUCACCUAGGCGACGAUCCCUAGCUGGUCUGAGAGGAUGACCAGCCACACUGGAACUGAGACACGGUCCAGACUCCUACGGGAGGCAGCAGUGGGGAAUAUUGCACAAUGGGCGCAAGCCUGAUGCAGCCAUGCCGCGUGUAUGAAGAAGGCCUUCGAGUUGUAAAGUACUUUCAGCGGGGAGGAAGGGAGUAAAGUUAAUACCUUUGCUCAUUGACGUUACCCGCAGAAGAAGCACCGGCUAACUCCGUG
Molecule: ribosomal RNA, 490 nt
Filed under: uncultured bacterium
Lineage: Bacteria
Description: partial 16S ribosomal RNA
Rfam family: Bacterial small subunit ribosomal RNA
Source: RNAcentral